This is a non-coding RNA of Pelobates cultripes (western spadefoot toad), 1060 nucleotides long. NCBI's taxonomy places the organism in Eukaryota, Metazoa, Chordata, Amphibia, Anura, Pelobatidae. The record is from the annotation of a GenBank genome assembly.
UGUUAAGACAUGUUGAUAUUACUACAUUUGCAUUUAGAUUGCUGUACACUAUUUCCUUCAUCAGUGACAUAAACAUUACCUUUUGUUGCAGCAUUACAUGAGAAGAGUGCAUGAUUCUAGCUAAUUUGGCUUACUAGUUUUAUAGCGGACCGGUCACCCUCUCUUGACUUGCAUAUUUUGCAAAGACUCCCUGUGGUGACAUCUCCUCUUGGUGCAGUGGCCUUAUGCUAUCCCCCUGUUGGUGUCACCACAUUCGAUAUUCAGCUCAUGGUACUUCAUCCACCAGGAGCCCAUGUGCAUGUGCAAGAGUACAACAUUAUGGGGGAUCACAAUAGACUUCCGCAGCCUUCAUAGUAUUGUCUAGCUAUCAGCGAAAUUGUCUUAUGCUAUCUUUUGACUGUGUCUGAAUUUAAUUGAAAUACCAAUGCACUCUUUUUGAGCAUUUCAUAAAUAUGACAUCCGUUAACCCCUUAAGGACACAUGACAUGUGUGACAUGUCAUGAUUCCCUUUUAUUCCAGAAGUUUGGUCCUUAAGGGGUUAAAAUAUGCUCAUAAUGUUUUUUGGGAGUGACAUAGCUGCCUUAAAUACUCUAUUUCAAGGGAAAUAUUGUCUUAAUUCUUUGCUAUUGUAUUUCAGAAACUGAAUGAAACUGCAAAGAGUGAAGAUAGAUAUGAGUCUCAGAAGAUGAAAACUUAGGGUUUAAAUAUUUAAUGUGUGUAAAGGAUGAGGUACAUAAAUGGUGGAUGGUGAUGAUCUGUGGGUUAUAGUUGUGAUUAUUUUCUCCUGCAGGUUAUUCCAGGAUGAAGGACUCCCUUACCCUGCUGACUCGGGUUUCUGCUCACCCUGACUCCCGUUGCUGGUUCGUGGCAUGGAAUCCCACCGGAACAUUACUGGCCUCGUGUGGAGGCGAUCGGAUUAUCCGGAUUUGGGGCAAAGAUGGUGUGUGCAUGUACAGGAAUGACCUUCCGCUCUUUUGUUUAAGGAUUACCUAAAGCAUCAUGACCUCUUUGGUGAUUUACAGCAAUCAUGGUGCUUGGAGUCUAUCUGUGCAGCAGCGGU